This 358-nucleotide long non-coding RNA is filed under the name Trifolium pratense (red clover). RNAcentral describes it as "long non-coding RNA (TPRA_LNC000567)". Lineage: Eukaryota; Viridiplantae; Streptophyta; Magnoliopsida; Fabales; Fabaceae. The record is from RNAcentral.
UGCAAAUCUUUAUAUUACAAUAAUGAAGUCAAUGUGGCCACAAUUGCAUAUGCACGUUUUCCGAGAUGGAUUUCUUCAGUCAACAAAUCUAUGCAUUCACAUAAUCACCACUUUGGAUUCGUUUGAUCAAGAUCAUGCGAUCUAGAUUUUAAUGUAGAUUUUCAUCUUUUGAAAAACUAAAAUACCGAACUUGAAAUAUGGACCAUAUGGAUCAAACAGCUACUAGUGUGGUAACCGCGUGAUUGUGUGGAUUGCUGACCGCAACAAAUCCAAAUCCGUCGAAAACCUCUAAAAUUGGAAACCACGAUAUUGUAGUUGCAGGCCGCAAUUUAAAAUUAUUGCCAUGUCACAGUGUUUG